GCUCGCGGCAGGCCUAACACAUGCAAGCCGAGGGGUUAAUUACCGAUGCUUGCAUCGGAAACGACCGGCGCACGGGUGAGUAACGCGUAUGCAACCUGCCCUUAACUGGGGGAUAGCCCGAAGAAAUUCGGAUUAAUACCCCAUAAUAUCAUGAUUUCGCAUGUUUUUAUGAUUAAAGCUCAGGCGGUUAAGGAUGGGCAUGCGUGGCAUUAGCUUGUUGGUGAGGUAACGGCUCACCAAAGCAACGAUGCCUAGGGGGUCUUAAAGGAUGGUCCCCCACACUGGUACUGAGACACGGACCAGACUUCUACGGAAGGCAGCAGUGAGGAAUAUUGGUCAAUGGGUGCAAGCCUGAACCAGCCAUGCCGCGUGCAGGAUGACGGCCCUAUGGGUUGUAAACUGCUUUUGUACGGGAAGAACCCCCCCGACGUGUCGGGGACUGACGGUACCGUACGAAUAAGGAUCGGCUAACUCCGUGCCAGCAGCCGCGGUAAUACGGAGGAUCCUAGUG
RNAcentral lists this ribosomal RNA (511 nucleotides) under uncultured Bacteroidota bacterium. RNAcentral describes it as "bacterial SSU rRNA". It matches the Rfam family "Bacterial small subunit ribosomal RNA", at positions 35 to 540 of the family's 1533-position model. Lineage: Bacteria; Pseudomonadati; Bacteroidota. The record is from RNAcentral.